Molecule: unclassified non-coding RNA, 999 nt
Filed under: Hevea brasiliensis (rubber tree)
Lineage: Eukaryota; Viridiplantae; Streptophyta; Magnoliopsida; Malpighiales; Euphorbiaceae
Source: RNAcentral
GAUGUUGGAGUCCAUGAUCAAGUCUCCAAGGCCUACUCGAGCUGAAGCUACUGAUGUUGCCAAUGCAGUUCUUGAUGGUUCUGACUGUGUGAUGCUUAGUGGUGAAACAGCUGCUGGAGCAUAUCCAGAACUGGCUGUUCGGACAAUGGCAAAAAUAUGCAUAGAAGCGGAAAGCACACUUGAUUAUGGUGACGUCUUCAAAAGAAUCAUGCAACACUCACCUGUGCCCAUGAGCCCAUUGGAGAGUCUGGCAUCUUCUGCUGUUAGAACAGCCAAUUCAGCAAAAGCAUCCCUUAUAUUGGUCUUAACCAGGGGAGGAAGUACUGCAAAACUGGUGGCUAAAUACCGACCUGGCAUGCCUAUUUUAUCUGUGGUUGUACCUGAGAUUAAGACCGAUUCCUUUGAUUGGUCCUGCAGUGAUGAAGCUCCUGCAAGGCAUAGCCUUAUUUUUCGUGGGUUGGUACCUGUUUUAUAUGCAGGAUCUGCUAGGGCUUCUCAUGCUGAGACAACAGAAGAAGCGUUGGACUUUGCCAUUCAACAUGCCAAGACAAAAGGACUAUGUAAGAAUGGAGAUUCUGUUGUGGCUUUACACCGAGUUGGAGCUGCAUCCAUAAUCAAGAUUAUUACUGUCAAGUGAUGAUCUUAUCAUAUAACUUUUGUUUCAGCUUUUUGCUUCUCCUUAAUUGAAUGUGAUGGAAAGAUGUUGCUGAUAAUGUCAGCUUGUUUUUCUCCUUUUAUCUUCAUCCAUUUUUUUCCUGUUUUGAAAUGAACCUCAGUUAUCAUUUUGAUGGGGAAUCAACGAUGUAGUGCGUAGAUCUUCAAAUGCUUGGUUGCUUCAAUUUUUGAUUUUAUAAUUAAUGGCCUGUGCUAGCAUGCAUUUCAAAGUCAGUGACAUUGAUGCAUAAGUUACUCCUUGACCCUCUAGAUAGAAGUAGUCUGAAUAUUCUAAGAUUUCAUUUCAACUCCAUGGACUAUGGGAGUUUUGGACAUUCACAAAUC